UUGUCUGUAGAAAUUGGGAAUCCACUUUCUCUUUGUUGGCGUCCAUCCCCAACUUGCACAUUAUUGUAAGCUGACUUUUCGUCAGCUUCUGUGUUGGGGCCCGCCCCAACUUGCAUUGCCUGUAGAAAUUGGGGAGCCAAUUUCUCUGUGUUGGGGCCCCUGACUAGAAUUGAAAAAAGCUUGUUACAAGCGCAUUUUCGUUCAGUCAACUACUACCAAUAUAACUUCGUAGAGCAUAGAAUAUUGAUUUAU
RNAcentral lists this non-coding RNA (252 nucleotides) under Staphylococcus aureus. RNAcentral describes it as "Staphylococcus sRNA 35 (srn_0335)". It matches the Rfam family "Staphylococcus sRNA 35 (srn_0335)". From Rfam's summary of the family: Other name: Srn_0335, SAOUHSCs258. Lineage: Bacteria; Bacillati; Bacillota; Bacilli; Caryophanales; Staphylococcaceae. The record is from RNAcentral.